CAGCAGGCUCCGCUGUGGCUUGGGCGCCUCAGGAACUGCACUGGCGCCUACUCGGAAGCCCCGGGGGCCCUCGGGUCAGGCUGCGCUUCCCUCCGAGGCCCGCUGGGGCCGCGAGCUCGCCGAGGCUCCACGUGCGCGUCUCCCCGCACACCACCCGCGCGCACGCCAGCCCGCGCGCACGCCCCCGCCCGCGCGCCCGCCCGCGCCUUCGCGGAGGGAUCUGGGAGUGAAGCUUCGGCAUGGGCCUGGGUCGCUUAGAUGGAUGAUGUAGCUGCUCCAGAUCGUACUUGCACUCCUGUUUACUAGGAAAAAAAAAAUGUAUGUGAGAUCUGAAGGAGAGAUAGUGAAGAAUUCUCGCUAGAGUAAUGUCAAAACUGGCUUUGCAGGAGGCAUGCUGGGCAGAAAAAGGGUUGGGAAGAAAAGCACUGACCAGAUGAAAGCAGUGGGGAUGGAGAACAGAAGGUGGUUCAAAGCAAGCACAGUAACAAUCAGGACGGAUGGUAAGGAAGUUGGUCCUUACUGCCGGAAUCCUCUACCCGUGGCUACCUUGCACAGUGUGGAGAGUAUUUGGGGUGACAGGAACAUGCUGCACAUACAAAGGUUUGUACCACAGAAGAACCUCCAAAUUAUGAAUCUUGGAGCAUCUCCGUUGUAAAAUCCUUUUAAAGUAUAAAUGGUCUCUUGGGACAGACAAAACGUCAGACAAAUUCUUUCUGGGGUUCAGAUGGAUUGUGGAAUGACCACCCGGAAGAGAAACAAGUCCCACUUUUAAUCAGGUUUGAUCCUGAAUUGUCAAAUGACCUGUGGCUCUAAAAUAAGGACCUCCACUGAGGCAAAAGAAAUGGAUUCAUCAAACCCCAUUCAUCAGGAGGUAUGAGGCACCAAAGACACUGUGGGCAAGCAUCC
Long non-coding RNA from Lutra lutra (Eurasian river otter), 906 nucleotides. RefSeq lists it as uncharacterized. The transcript has 4 exons. NCBI's taxonomy places the organism in Eukaryota, Metazoa, Chordata, Mammalia, Carnivora, Mustelidae. The record is from RefSeq and is a predicted model, not a curated record.